UGAUUGCAUCAUCUUUCUACUGGACAUUUUUAGCGACUCUGCUUUUUCCAUCCUGAUAGUUAUGAUGCAACACUGAGAGUCACUUAUUUUUUAUUCGCAGUUUUGUGACGCGACUGUGAUUGUGAAAUUGCUAACCAUAGAUGGGCAUUUGAUUAAGUGAUUAGCACACACACACACCCACCCCCAGCACCAGAAAAGCAGCUGGUGACUACAAAUACAGGACAUUUUGCAGGACAGCACGUCGCUCUCUAACAGGAGUUUUCAGAAGAAUGGAUGUGGGACACUACGUCAACUCACCAGCUGCUGAAGGGAGAAACAGUCCGGAGAAGAGAGAAAAAUCCACCUCAGGCUUGUCACGGGUCUUCCGGGUGGCUGUAGUCGGCUUCGGCCUGCUGUGCAUCAUACACUCAGCUAUCAACAUCUGUCUUCGGAUCCAAGGAUUUGAGUUUUGUAACAAGUCUGAGCUCAACCACUCGGCCAAUGUCACCCUGAUGUCACCUGCUGACGUCAGCACCCUGCUGCUGGAGAACGAGCGACUGGCGGAGGGAAACAUCAACCUGAUCAGAUAUAAUAAGAUAUUAAAGGACCAACUGAGCCAACGACAAGAUCACAUACAGGAAAUUCAAAAUGCAAAAGACAGGCUGGAAAAGAGGCUUGUUGAAUGUGAACUAAAACCCCAGUGCUGUCCUCUGGGAUGGACGCCAUACAAGUCCAGCUGUUACCAGCUCUCCACUGAGAGACAGAGCUGGGCAUACGCAAAACAAGACUGUGAGGCAAAGGACAGUCAUCUGGUGAUCAUUGAUGAUGAAACAGAAAUGGAAAUUGUCCUUUCUUCGGGAUCUUAUAUGAUUUGGAUCGGCUUGAGGGCCAAACGAGAGCGUGGAAGGAGGAUGUGGACCUGGCUGGACGGAAUCCCGCUGAGUGACGCGAUUCAGCUGCGUGAAAUGAAACCACAUCCUUACUGUGCCUAUUUGGGAAAAUUCCCAUCUGGAGAAUCGACCUGGGAUGCUACUGACUGUACGGACCAAAACCAUUGGAUGUGUGAGAAGGAACUGAAGUGACACACCUGAAACCUGAGUAACAUUCACAUAACAACCAUUAAGACGAUUCCCUGUCCCCUAAAGUCGCUCCUACACACUAAGACGCAAAAUAUACAUGAUAGUGGACAUGUGAUUUGUAUUCUUUGUUGACUUUAAUGAGUUUUUCAUUAGAAUAUGCCUCUGCUGAAUAUAAAUCAUGACUUGUGUGUGAUUUCAUACAUUUAAAGGUAAAUCGGUCAAUUGACAAAGUUGUUGUUGUGGUUCCUGAGACAAAAACCUUUUCUGUGAUGUUGUGUGCUUUGACUCGAACUACUGAGGAAAUGUUGACUGAUCUUGAUCAUCUUUUAAAAUAAAUCAUUUCUGG
This 1404-nucleotide long non-coding RNA is filed under the name Sparus aurata (gilthead seabream). RNAcentral describes it as "lncRNA (ENSSAUG00010013012.1)". The record is from RNAcentral. Lineage: Eukaryota; Metazoa; Chordata; Actinopteri; Spariformes; Sparidae.